AAAUAUAUAGCUUAUACUUAAAGCACUUUAUUGAAGAUAAAAUUACCUCUUCACUCUGAA
Molecule: transfer RNA, 60 nt
Filed under: Parachtes ignavus
Lineage: Eukaryota; Metazoa; Arthropoda; Arachnida; Araneae; Dysderidae
Description: tRNA-Phe
Source: RNAcentral